GGGGCUGAUCGGUUUCGACUUUGGUCGUUUCGAUGCAGAAGAAGCGGGUAGAGAAGCCAACGUCAUCUCUUAAACGUUCGUUGGAACCCUAUAAGUGCCGAUUCCAAGCGCACUGACUUCGCCCUCGCUGCCUGACAGCGACUGGUGAAGGGCAGACCCGGGAGCGUCCCCGUCCCGGAUCGUCUGUCUCAUCUAGGGGACUUGCUGAUCACGCCGUGCCACGUGGCGUGAUCGGGACUUUUUCGUGGCUGAGCCUGUCGGCGACGCGUUCGUCCGAGCGCCGGGGCUGAGAAAAGCGUCAGACGAACUGCACCCGGAGAAGUCCUGUAUCUGCGCCAGAGGACCGGGGUUCGAUUCCCCGCAGCUCCACUA
Non-coding RNA from Aeromicrobium sp. Root495, 372 nucleotides. It matches the Rfam family "transfer-messenger RNA". Rfam says of the family: Bacterial tmRNA, also known as 10Sa RNA or SsrA, is named for its dual tRNA and mRNA-like properties. The record is from Rfam. NCBI's taxonomy places the organism in Bacteria, Bacillati, Actinomycetota, Actinomycetes, Propionibacteriales, Nocardioidaceae.